Molecule: non-coding RNA, 524 nt
Filed under: uncultured Glomeromycotina
Lineage: Eukaryota; Fungi; Glomeromycota
Also listed under: 1 other name
Description: SSU rRNA
Rfam family: Eukaryotic small subunit ribosomal RNA
Source: RNAcentral
AGCAGCCGCGGUAAUUCCAGCUCCAAUAGCGUAUAUUAAAGUUGUUGCAGUUAAAAAGCUCGUAGUUGAACUUCGGGGUCUACCCAUUGGUCAGGCUUAAUUGUCUGCACUGGUGAGAUGGAUCUCUACCUUCUGAGGAACUUUCAUGCCAUUUAUUUGGUGUGAUGGGAAAUCAGGACUGUUACUUUGAAAAAAUUAGAGUGUUUAAAGCAGACUAUCGUCUGAAUACAUUAGCAUGGAAUAAUGAAAUAGGACGGACUGAUUCUAUUUCGUUGGUUUCUAGGAUCACCGUAAUGAUUAAUAGGGAUAGUUGGGGGCAUUAGUAUUCAAUUGUCAGAGGUGAAAUUCUUGGAUUUAUUGAAGACUAACUACUGCGAAAGCAUUUGCCAAGGAUGUUUUCAUUAAUCAAGAACGAAAGUUAGGGGAUCGAAGACGAUCAGAUACCGUCGUAGUCUUAACCAUAAACUAUGCCGACUAGGGAUCGGACGAAGUUAAUUUUAUAAUGACGCGUUCGGCACCUUACG